CGGGGUGUGGCGCAGCUUGGUAGCGCGCUUCGUUCGGGACGAAGAGGUCGUGGGUUCGAAUCCCGCUACCCCGA
Molecule: transfer RNA, 74 nt
Filed under: Microbacterium sp.
Lineage: Bacteria; Bacillati; Actinomycetota; Actinomycetes; Micrococcales; Microbacteriaceae
Also listed under: 9 other names
Description: tRNA-Pro
Rfam family: tRNA
About the family: Transfer RNA (tRNA) molecules are approximately 80 nucleotides in length. Their secondary structure includes four short double-helical elements and three loops (D, anti-codon, and T loops).
Source: RNAcentral